UACGAAGGGUGCAAGCGUUACUCGGAAUUACUGGGCGUAAAGCGUGCGUAGGUGGUUUGUUAAGUCUGAUGUGAAAGCCCUGGGCUCAACCUGGGAAUUGCAUUGGAUACUGGCAGGCUAGAGUGCGGUAGAGGAUGGCGGAAUUCCCGGUGUAGCAGUGAAAUGCGUAGAGAUCGGGAGGAACACCAGUGGCGAAGGCGGCGACCUGGGCCAAUACUGACGCUGAGGUGCGAAAGCGUGGGGAGCAAACAGG
RNAcentral lists this ribosomal RNA (253 nucleotides) under uncultured bacterium. RNAcentral describes it as "partial 16S ribosomal RNA". It matches the Rfam family "Bacterial small subunit ribosomal RNA", at positions 524 to 776 of the family's 1533-position model. The record is from RNAcentral.